CAGUAAAUAAUUCUGCCCGGCCGCCUCUCUGCCAGGUACGUUAAUUCCAUGACGACGUCGUACGAGGACUAUUCUCGAUCGCGAUUCGCGAGGCCACGCACGAUUAUUGCGUGCAUGCAUGUGCUCUUCGAUCUUCUUUGUUGCUGAUGACUCAUUGACAGACAUAGAUUUAAAAAUGUAGUAUAUGUUCUCGUACGUGAGACUCGGCAAAUUGAUUGAGACUGUGUGAUACAAACAGAGUAGAUGCCGUUCAGACUUUAUUAUAUGACUGACGCCGCAGCUGAUAAUAAUAGCUAGCAACACUGAAACAGACGGUUAAAAACUGUUGAUGUUACGACAAUAGCUACGUUGGUCUGAUCUCUGAUGCCGUUCAGACUUAGACGUGAUUGAAAAUCUGCAAUGCAAGACGCGGUCAACACAUAAAUUAAAGAUCCAUGCAUGAAUUAUGGCCAUUGAAUUGAUAGAUAGACAAUAAUAUAAUCAGUCAACGUUGCUACUAGCUAGCUAUAGUAGUUCGAUCGGAGACAAAUCUUCUGUAGCGUUUCGUUUGAUUAGUUGCGGAGGCUCAGUUUGUCUUGCAUAUGCGCAGAACCUUGAGAGGUAGCUGCUAGACUCGCGAUUAAUCUCGUGUCUUCAUCACGUAAUCAUCUAGGAGAAUAUAUAUAACAGAAGAAAGACUUUGGCGUGUGUGGAUUCAUCUACCGUCUGUAUUUUCCGGGCACCGCCAGCUUUGCAUAUAAUGUGCUUGCACUUCAUCGAUUCAGAAAUUCAAAGGCUCUGAACUUUCCAAACUGAAAGGCUUGAUUUGACGUUUCUGAUGAUCCAAGCCUCGGUAGAACAGUUUGGAGAUCGCAAUGAGGACGUACGCAUGCCUUGCCCUUCCCAACUUCAUUAAUUGUCUCAGAUGCCGACGCAUAUAUAUAGAUAAUAUAUAAGAACUUUUUCAAAGACAUCAAAGGCCCUAUAUAUUGUACCCCUAUGUCUGUCUAGUUUGGAGUAGAUCUCUUCUCUUACAUGCUCGAGUUUACAUUAUUGGUGUCGAUUGUUGCUUAUAUGUAACAUGCCGAUUAGAGCCUCUAUCCCUCCUUAUUAUAUAGUCUAGGUGAUAGUGUAAGGCCCAAAAUUGGUAUAAGAAAAAAAUAAUAAUACAAUAAAUAUAUGAAGAAAUAAAAUAGCAAAUUCAGAUAUCUCAAAUUAUAAGUGUUGAAAAUUGAGGACUGAAUUUUGAAAACCAAGAAUUAUUUUAGAAAAGAAGUAAUAGAAAAGUUUUCUAUUCAACUAAAUGAUUAUGCAUAUCAUUAAAUGAUGCACCAUAAACAUUUACUUACAUGAAUAUUUACUUUUAAAGUAACUUUUACUUCUUAUCCCAUAUUCAAAAUACUACUUUUCUAAAAAGAAAGAAAACAAUAUGAGUGUUUUGCAUAUUUCAAACAUCUACCAAACAAAUAAACUAAUUAAAAUAAAUAUAUAUCUAAUGCUUCAUAAUUGAUUUUGAGUAUGUAUUAAAAAUUUGAAUUCCUAAAUUUUAUCUUGGAUUUGAAUUUUAAAUUUGUAAUGUCAAAAAGGAAAUUCCAUAAUUGAGAAAAGAGAAGAAAUACUACACAGAUAAGAUAAAAUAAAUAUAUAAAUUAAUUAAAAUAAGUUCAUAUUGGUAAUUUACUUUAGGAAGUUAACCUAGGUAUGAACUUCACAACAAGUAUGAAUUCAAAUUUCAAAUUUAAAUUUGAAAGAAAAGAGAAAAAAAGGAAAAGAAAACAGAAAAAGAAAAAAGAAAAAAAAGAGAAACGACACACUGGGCCAAUUCUGGCGUGGCCGGCCCAACUAACCUCCUAUCCCCGCAACCCGCGCUACCGCCCGCACUGACACUGGAUCCCCACUGGUCAACCUCAUACGCACGCGCCAGGCUCGCCCAACGCCGCUGACUCGUGGGCCCGCUGGGUCAGUCCGACCGAGUAGACGACUCCACAUCUCCGCGCACCACUCAAUACCUUGUCACACUGUCUUGCGGGCCCUCCACAUCAGUCGCUCAUAGUCGCGCGACCUAAACAACUCUCACUGCCGUGCGGGCCCCAUAUUCCAGCGUCCCCCGGUUGUUGCGCGAGCGCGUAGUCACGUUCACCUGGGACCCACCGGUCAGCUCCUUUCCCCCUCCUCCGUCCGAGUCUCGCGGCACGUAACAAAUCUCGGCCAUGGCGGUGCGCCCCGCAGGCCUCGGGACCCGUUGCACGACCCCGCUAACCCACACAUAUAUAAUGCGCCACGAUCCUAAGCCUUUCCCCUCCCCAAUUUCUCGUCUGCCAUUACGAAAUUGCGAGUGUGUCGGUGUUGGGAGAACCAGAUUGCGUCGCCGCCGUGGAGAUCUGGCCCUGGUGUACUUCGGUGUCGUUCUGUUGGCCAUGGAGUUUCGCCUGGGUCCGGUGAAUCGUGUUGCGGCGUAUCGGGCCGAGAAGACCAGUGUGGCCAUGGGAAUCCGUCGUCGUGAUCUUCUUCGCCGCCGCAUUGCGCCUAUUGUCGGGGCCAGGCUUCGUCGUGGUGAGAUUGCGGGUAACUAUGGACCAAUCCCAUUCCUAAUAUCGUGCGCAUCGCAUUAGACUAAUGGGAGUUAGGUUUUAUGACCCGGAGCACCAUGUGGAGCUCGCCGGAGUUUACUCCACCGCGGGUGGAUUCGUCACCGUCGCUCGGCCACGGAUAGGGGUGGGAGAAUGGGCUUAGGCCGUUGGAUGUGUGUUGGACGGUGAUGUUUAGAGCGCCAUACCCUUCGACUAAUUGAAUCUGCGUCGUCGAUCUACAAUCCGAGGGGUGCGAGCGAGAUUAGCUAAUAUAAAAUCUGCGUCGUAGAUCGCGGAUCGGGCGGACCGUGUUGCGUACCGUUUCGCAGGCGGCCAGAUCUAAUCUGUGUCGUUGUGUCAGACCGGACGGCCGAGAAUCACCCAUACCCUUUUGUGAAUGCAGAUUUUCACAUGAGCCCUUCUGUUUUUACAAAAAUAAGCCUGCAAUCCAUCGACCGUGUGCCUGAGUCUUAGAUUUUUUAUGCAAUAGACCCUGGGUUUCUGUUAAUCAUGCGCGCAGUCCAGACCUCUAGGAAAAUAGAGAAAUUCAUUUAGAAAAAUAUUUUUAAUGCAAAAUUAAUUCCAGAAAUUUGUUUAAUUACUAGAAAAUACAUUUUAACUCCUUUUUAAUCCAUUCCAGUUUCUAUAAUUUUGUAAUAUUAUUGUUUAUCAUCUAGUGCCACUGUUUUGACAUGAAAGACAAAUUAAAAUUAACCUCUUAAUUAAUCUGUAUCAAAUACAUAAAACCUUUGGAAAUUCAUAACUUCCCCAUUUUAACUCCGAAUUAAACUGUUCCAGUUGCGUUAGCUUCAUAUGAAUAUUUACUAUGCAAUAACAACGUUUAUUGUACCAUGCCUCAUUCUUUAUAAUUAGAUCUUUAUUUAACUUAUGUUGGUUAGUCUUGUUAAUCUGCUUAUUAUUAUAAUCUACUAAAAUAUGAUCUAUAGUCAAUUUAUAAUGUAGAUUAAAGUUGAAUUAAUUACUAAUUUAGGUUAUCUUUUCUAUGGAAUUAUAAAAUAAACAUAAAACCUAGUGUUAAUUAUUUAAUCAUAACUUGAUGAUCGUAACCCCCGAUUUUAGUGGUUCUCGAACCCACGAUCUCGUAGCGACGCGUAGAUCAUUAUUAUGCAGUUUGUUUUUAUGUUUGGUGUGAUGUUAAUUUUGUCUAUAUCAUGUUUGUUUGUAUUGCUACGACUAGCAGUGAGGUCACGAGGAUCUAAAGAUCAUCCUGGUACCUGUAAUCUCAAGUGCCAGGCAAGUUGUGCCCUUGAUCACAUUUAUUUACUUAAUAAUGUUUUUAUAAUCAUUUAUUCCUGCAUAGGUUUAAUUUUGAUGAGACCCAAUAGGUCACCCUAGUCUGAUUAUCUUUAUACCUUGUUUACCCCUGAACUAUUUGGGUAGUUUUGCUAUUGCUCUAUAUAGUUUUGGGAUUAAUAUUACAUUAUGUCCAUGUUCCAAUUAUUAUGUUAUUCUAUUUAUUGUUCAUGUCAAGAUCAUCAUAUUUUUAAUUGGAACAUGGAGCUAAACUUGAGAAACAUGUGCCACCACAAGGGUGGAAUGGGACGCCCUUGGCUGACUAACUAGGAAAGCUAGUGGAAGACUACCUUACCCGAAAGGGGCAAGGGCAGUAGGGGAGUAGGCAUGUAGGGAGGUUCUCGGGUUGAUUUUGUUGCGAUGGCGGUUAGACGAGGGAUUCCUACAAUUGCUCUUCCUAGAAACUGUAGCGGGGUUCGGAAGCUAGUGGAACUUUGUAAAGGCCUCGUAGUGGAUCCCUAGCCAUUCACCUCGUUAGUGUCUAAGGGUCUAGCUAAUCCUGGCGACAUGUGAUACACGACUUGUGGGUACAUGGUACAACCUCUGCAGAGUGUAAAACUGGUAUACUAGUCGAGCUCACGGUCAUGAGCAGCUUAGGACUCUCGCAUGAUUAAAUUAUGAAACUAAAUCCAAUUUGUUAUUUGCAUUGCAUGGGAUUUAUUAUUAAUUUUGUUCUAUUAUUAUUAUGGUUUGGUAUUCACUUACAUCUAGUAAUUGCUAAUAGAAUUUUGACCAACUUUAAAAGCAAUGCUCAACUUUAACCAUUCUCUUUGGUAAGCCUUACACUUCACAUGAGCUCCCACCUUUGGCAAGUUCAUGCACAUUAUUCCCCAUAACUUGUUGAGCUAUGAAUGUAUGUGAGCUCACCCUUGCUGUCUCAUACCCCCACAUGUCAAGAACAGGUACCAUUGGAUGAGGCGCAUGGAGGAUGCUGCGAUGUGUUCAUGAGAGGUCUAGGUCGUCGUCUCCCAGUCAACUUUGGGUUGUUGGAUCGUUCUCUCCUUACGAUGAAAUUAUUUAUUUAUUUUGUACAUAACUCCUAUUGUAUAAUAAAGUUGUGACAUUCGUUUCUG
Molecule: long non-coding RNA, 4936 nt
Filed under: Zea mays
Lineage: Eukaryota; Viridiplantae; Streptophyta; Magnoliopsida; Poales; Poaceae
Description: long non-coding RNA (ZMAY_LNC001821)
Source: RNAcentral